Molecule: ribosomal RNA, 2056 nt
Filed under: Escherichia coli
Lineage: Bacteria; Pseudomonadati; Pseudomonadota; Gammaproteobacteria; Enterobacterales; Enterobacteriaceae
Description: bacterial LSU rRNA
Rfam family: Bacterial large subunit ribosomal RNA
Source: RNAcentral
UCAUCUCCGGGGGUAGAGCACUGUUUCGGCAAGGGGGUCAUCCCGACUUACCAACCCGAUGCAAACUGCGAAUACCGGAGAAUGUUAUCACGGGAGACACACGGCGGGUGCUAACGUCCGUCGUGAAGAGGGAAACAACCCAGACCGCCAGCUAAGGUCCCAAAGUCAUGGUUAAGUGGGAAACGAUGUGGGAAGGCCCAGACAGCCAGGAUGUUGGCUUAGAAGCAGCCAUCAUUUAAAGAAAGCGUAAUAGCUCACUGGUCGAGUCGGCCUGCGCGGAAGAUGUAACGGGGCUAAACCAUGCACCGAAGCUGCGGCAGCGACGCUUAUGCGUUGUUGGGUAGGGGAGCGUUCUGUAAGCCUGCGAAGGUGUGCUGUGAGGCAUGCUGGAGGUAUCAGAAGUGCGAAUGCUGACAUAAGUAACGAUAAAGCGGGUGAAAAGCCCGCUCGCCGGAAGACCAAGGGUUCCUGUCCAACGUUAAUCGGGGCAGGGUGAGUCGACCCCUAAGGCGAGGCCGAAAGGCGUAGUCGAUGGGAAACAGGUUAAUAUUCCUGUACUUGGUGUUACUGCGAAGGGGGGACGGAGAAGGCUAUGUUGGCCGGGCGACGGUUGUCCCGGUUUAAGCGUGUAGGCUGAUUUUCCAGGUAAAUCCGGAAAAUCAAGGCUGAGGCGUGAUGACGAGGCACUACGGUGCUGAAGCAACAAAUGCCCUGCUUCCAGGAAAAGCCUCUAAGCAUCAGGUAACAUCAAAUCGUACCCCAAACCGACACAGGUGGUCAGGUAGAGAAUACCAAGGCGCUUGAGAGAACUCGGGUGAAGGAACUAGGCAAAAUGGUGCCGUAACUUCGGGAGAAGGCACGCUGAUAUGUAGGUGAAGUCCCUUGCGGAUGGAGCUGAAAUCAGUCGAAGAUACCAGCUGGCUGCAACUGUUUAUUAAAAACACAGCACUGUGCAAACACGAAAGUGGACGUAUACGGUGUGACGCCUGCCCGGUGCCGGAAGGUUAAUUGAUGGGGUUAGCGNGCGAAGCUCUUGAUCGAAGCCCCGGUAAACGGCGGCCGUAACUAUAACGGUCCUAAGGUAGCGAAAUUCCUUGUCGGGUAAGUUCCGACCUGCACGAAUGGCGUAAUGAUGGCCAGGCUGUCUCCACCCGAGACUCAGUGAAAUUGAACUCGCUGUGAAGAUGCAGUGUACCCGCGGCAAGACGGAAAGACCCCGUGAACCUUUACUAUAGCUUGACACUGAACAUUGAGCCUUGAUGUGUAGGAUAGGUGGGAGGCUUUGAAGUGUGGACGCCAGUCUGCAUGGAGCCGACCUUGAAAUACCACCCUUUAAUGUUUGAUGUUCUAACGUUGGCCCCUNAUCGGGGUUGCGGACAGUGUCUGGUGGGUAGUUUGACUGGGGCGGUCUCCUCCUAAAGAGUAACGGAGGAGCACGAAGGUUGGCUAAUCCUGGUCGGACAUCAGGAGGUUAGUGCAAUGGCAUAAGCCAGCUUGACUGCGAGCGUGACGGCGCGAGCAGGUGCGAAAGCAGGUCAUAGUGAUCCGGUGGUUCUGAAUGGAAGGGCCAUCGCUCAACGGAUAAAAGGUACUCCGGGGAUAACAGGCUGAUACCGCCCAAGAGUUCAUAUCGACGGCGGUGUUUGGCACCUCGAUGUCGGCUCAUCACAUCCUGGGGCUGAAGUAGGUCCCAAGGGUAUGGCUGUUCGCCAUUUAAAGUGGUACGCGAGCUGGGUUUAGAACGUCGUGAGACAGUUCGGUCCCUAUCUGCCGUGGGCGCUGGAGAACUGAGGGGGGCUGCUCCUAGUACGAGAGGACCGGAGUGGACGCAUCACUGGUGUUCGGGUUGUCAUGCCAAUGGCACUGCCCGGUAGCUAAAUGCGGAAGAGAUAAGUGCUGAAAGCAUCUAAGCACGAAACUUGCCCCGAGAUGAGUUCUCCCUGACUCCCUGAGAGUCCUGAAGGAACGUUGAAGACGACGACGUUGAUAGGCCGGGUGUGUAAGCGCAGCGAUGCGUUGAGCUAACCGGUACUAAUGAACCGUGAGGCUUAACCUU